ACUGCUUCAGCUGAACAGAUGGAAGAAACCAACAAGAAGGUUCAACGGCUGAGAGGGCGAUGCAGCAAAGCACUGUGGAGUGCUUAGGGCGUGUUGGAGCACAAAAGACAACACGGCCAUCCAAUGCAGCUGAGGAAGUCUCCAGGUGUAACGACUUUUUGUGCCAAUGGACCCAGGCUUCCAACACCGAGAGAGUGGGGCUGUCUCUGUGCAUCGACUUUUCCACUUAAAUCUCCUUCACGCACAAGUGUCUUUGUGCACACUCAUCUAUCAUAGAUGAAAACACACAAAGACAAUCAUCAUCCUCAGUUACCAAGAGACUACUACUACUACACAUAAUAUCUUAUUUGACCCUUCCAACAACCAUGUGCAGUAACUACUACUAUUAACCCCUUUUUUAGAUUAAGCUAAAGCUGAGACUUCAAGUGACUUGCCCAAGCUCACCCAGUAAAGAAACUUGUCUGAGCCAGCAUGCAGAUCCUGGUCUUCCUGACUCCAGAUACUGACAUUGGGACCUUGUCAAGUUUCUUAACUUGUCAGCACAGCAAUCAACUCUUCAAGACAACAAAUUCCAGAGUAGUUACGGAUUGGCUCUGGUAGACAAGAAUUUCUUCACAGGAAAAUCUCAACAUCAAUAAAAUCCCAGUGCUGGGCAAUUUGGAAGCUGUGAUUGGCCCAUGUGAAAGGGGGAAGGGACAAGAAGUCACUAUAAAAGGCCAUGAAUUUCUGGGGAUAGAGAAGUCUACUCCAAGAAGGAAGUCAACUUAAGGAAGAUUUGCUCAAGAAAAAAAAAAAGUCAGCUUCAGGAGUCACCUUCAGCUGUCACCUUCAGCUUGAGUCAUUGUCUUCACCUGCCUCUUGGAGGGAACUUGGGUGAGUAGAUAGCUGGCUUUCCCUUCUUGUCUUCUGGAGAGAGUUUAAUUUUAGUUGAAGGUCAAUAAGCGCUGGCUGAGCACCCAAGCAAUAUUUGGUUAGAUAGGCUAAUGUCUACUAUACCCUUUUGUAUUUCUCUGCUUUCACUCUUUCUACCUCUUUUGUAAAUAAAAGCUAUUAAAGUCAUUUAGACUCUGAGCAAUAAUACUUUUGAAUUGGCAACAACCACUAUCAUUUAUAAUUUUCAUAUAUUUUAGUCAAACCAUUAAAAUUUAAUUCUUACAUAUUUUGACCAUUUGAGCUACAUUUAUCUCUACACAUCUGCAGGUGUGGAGACAUUAUAAGACUAUAUUAUUCAAACAAAAAAAGGCUUAAAAAUAACAUAGCAAAAUAUUUUUUCAUUCUUUUGAGUCAAAAUACAAAGAAUAAAGAGAAGGCACAUGUUUGAAUGUCUCCUCAUUCCACUCAAUCAUUAUUAUUAAUAAUAGGACACUGUAAAUAAGAGUAAACUAUUUUCUUGAAGUAUGUCUUAUGAGAAAAGUAGCAGAAAGAGGAUGGAAUCCUAAAGCCUUCCCAGCCUAGGAUGCUAUGAGAGAUACUUGUACAAUGAGAUCUAUGAAUAUGUGUGUAUGUCAACCUAUAAUUACAUAUAUAUGGAUGUAUGUACUUUUGUUCAAUGUAUGCACACACAUAUGGAGAUACACAUGCAUUUUUAUGCAUAAACAUGUGUAUAUGUGUGUAUAUGUAUCUUUUUGGAAGAGGUAAUACUUGAUUCUUAAAAGUUAUAUUUCACUUUAUCAUUAUAAAACACUACUAAAUUAUCUCAUUUUAUCUCGUCAAUACCCUUAUGACAGUAUGUGUUUAUAUAGGUACCAUUUUAUAAAUAAGGAAAAUGAGGCAGAAUAUAGUUGAGUGAUUUGUUUAUCAAUUAAUUACAAAUAUAGGAUAUAAAUCCUGACACAUGUUCAAGACCUAUGUUAGAUUAGUUCACAGUUUCUUAGGCACAGGGGCCAUCUAGUCUGACCUUAUUCCUAUACAUAAGGAAACUAAGGUCCAAAGCAGGUAAGUGACUUGGCCACAACCACAAAGAUAGAAUUUGGACUUACGCCUCUGGUGCCAUAUGCAUCAAAAUUUCCAUUUGUAGCAGAUUGUUUGUGGGUUGAAUUUCAAAAUGACAUUUGAUUGCCAACUUCAGAAAUUGGAACUUGACCCUGAAGUAUUAGGGACCCAUUAAUGAUUUUAACUUGGGCAAUGAAUCUCAGUGCCCAUUCUAAUUCCCUAAUAUUUCCACUAGAAUUCUAAAGAAAAUUCCAAGUUAAAUUGUCAGCAGUAUUCAGUACUCUAUUUCAUGGAAA
Non-coding RNA from Monodelphis domestica (gray short-tailed opossum), 2228 nucleotides. The record is from RefSeq and is a predicted model, not a curated record. Lineage: Eukaryota; Metazoa; Chordata; Mammalia; Didelphimorphia; Didelphidae.